UUGACAUCGAACACAGAGAGGGUCCAUCUAUCCAUGUUUUCAGAAAAGUUUGACAUUGAACAUAGAGAGGGUGGCCUUAUAGAGGGACCCUGGGGCAGCGGUACUCAGUACGCUCAACGCACUGGGGAAACCGUCUCGGGGAUGAAGAUGACGGCCGGUGACGCCGAGAGUGGCCAUAAAGGCAGAGCUGUGUGCUGCACUCCAUUCCAGCCUUAUGUGAUUUAAUCGACGUGCCAGGGGUGGAAGGCCCGUAUCUCAAGCAUCCUUCAGUAACAUCCCCAAAACUACUUGGACCCACAACUUCUGCUGUUUGGCCGACCCUCAUCAGGAAAGAAUAAAAAGAAACAGUACAAGACAAAGCAGCCAAAAAAGUGCUUCUGAUGAAGGACUUGGAGAGAAAAAAAACUCAUAAAAAAGAAAGAUUCAGAAUAUUUGAGAGAAGUCCUUUAUGAAAAGUAUCCCAAACUGAGAGAUGGAGGUGGAUUUGAAUUGCUGAAUCAAAUUCAAGAGUUGAUCUUGAAAAUAUUAACAUUCCAUCCUCAGGUUACAAUUAAUAUUUUUGGCGGAUGAAAGUGGACUUGGAGGAGCUAUUUUUUACAUCAGACCAAUUCAAGAGAAUCUCUCGAUGGAUCCUGUUUUGAAUGUUGUGGUAUGUUAAAAAAUCUUUCUACUGUACUUUAAAUAAGUUGACUGUCAAUCAUCAUACAUUCAAGACAGAUGAACAAUGCAUUUUUUUAUUAUUGAUUUUAAAUUAUUAUUGUUACUUUCUUAAUGAAGUGUGCAUUAAUUGUGUAAUGAUACUAAAAGCUAAAAUGAAAAGUUAUUAAUAUUGACAAGGCUGGAUUUUUGGCAACGAAUAGCCUCCAUAAAGGAU
Molecule: long non-coding RNA, 874 nt
Organism: Dreissena polymorpha
Lineage: Eukaryota; Metazoa; Mollusca; Bivalvia; Myida; Dreissenidae
Exons: 3
Source: RefSeq, a predicted model, not a curated record